UACAGAGGUCUCAACCGUUGUUCGGAUUCAUUGGGCGUAAAGGGUGCGUAGGCGGUCGGGUAAGUCGGAUGUGAAAUCUCAGGGCUCAACCCUGAAACUGCAUUCGAUACUGCCUGGCUAGGGUACUGGAGAGGAGACUGGAAUUUACGGUGUAGCAGUGAAAUGCGUAGAUAUCGUAAGGAAGACCAGUGGCGAAGGCGAGUCUCUGGACAGUUCCUGACACUGAGGCACGAAGGCCAGGGGAGCAAACGGG
This 253-nucleotide ribosomal RNA is filed under the name uncultured bacterium. RNAcentral describes it as "partial 16S ribosomal RNA". It matches the Rfam family "Bacterial small subunit ribosomal RNA", at positions 524 to 776 of the family's 1533-position model. The record is from RNAcentral.